RNAcentral lists this non-coding RNA (117 nucleotides) under Nomascus leucogenys (northern white-cheeked gibbon). The record is from Rfam by way of RNAcentral. Lineage: Eukaryota; Metazoa; Chordata; Mammalia; Primates; Hylobatidae.
GCUGGGCGUGGUGGCUUAUGCCUGUAAUCCCAGCACUUUGGGAGGCUGAGGUGGGAGGAUUGCUUGAGCCCAGGAGUUUGAAACCAGCCUGGGCAACAUGGCGAGAUCCCAUCUCAU